This 477-nucleotide ribosomal RNA is filed under the name uncultured bacterium. RNAcentral describes it as "partial 16S ribosomal RNA". It matches the Rfam family "Bacterial small subunit ribosomal RNA", at positions 28 to 507 of the family's 1533-position model. The record is from RNAcentral.
GAUUAACGCUGGCGGCGUGCAUAACACAUGCAAGUCGAACGAUGAAACUUUAAUGAACCCUUCGGGGAGAAUUAAAGCGGAUUAGUGGCGAACGGGUGAGUAACGCGUGAGUAACCUGCCUUACACAAGGGGAUAGCCUUUGGAAACGAAGAAUAAUACCCUAUAAAACCAUAAAAGCACAUGCAAUUAUGGUCAAAGUGAUAGCGGUGUAAGAUGGACUUGCGUCUGAUUAGCUAGUUGGUGAGAUAAAAGCCCACCAAGGCAACGAUCAGUAGCCGGCUUGAGAGAGUGUACGGCCACAUUGGGACUGAGACACGGCCCAGACUCCUACGGGAGGCAGCAGUGGGGAAUUUUGCACAAUGGGGGAAACCCUGAUGCAGCGACGCCGCGUGAUUUAGAAGGCCUUCGGGUUGUAAAAAUCUUUUGUAUAGGAAGAAAAUGAUAGUACUAUACGAAUAAGGUCCGGCUAAUUACGUG